AGUGAACGCUGGCGGUAGGCCUAACACAUGCAAGUCGAACGGCAGCACAGGAGAGCUUGCUCUCUGGGUGGCGAGUGGCGGACGGGUGAGGAAUACAUCGGAAUCUACUCUGUCGUGGGGGAUAACGUAGGGAAACUUACGCUAAUACCGCAUACGACCUACGGGUGAAAGCAGGGGACCUUCGGGCCUUGCGCGAUUGAAUGAGCCGAUGUCGGAUUAGCUAGUUGGCGGGGUAAAGGCCCACCAAGGCGACGAUCCGUAGCUGGUCUGAGGGGGUGAUCAGCCACACUGGAACUGAGACACGGGCCAGACUCCUACGGGAGGCAGCAGUGGGGAAUAUUGGACAAUGGGCGCAAGCCUGAUCCAGCCAUACCGCGUGGGUGAAGAAGGCCUUCGGGUUGUAAAGCCCUUUUGUUGGGAAAGAAAUCCAGCUGGCUAAUACCCGGUUGGGAUGACGGUACCCAAAGAAUAAGCACCGGCUAACUUCGUGCCAGCCGCCGCCGUAA
Molecule: ribosomal RNA, 506 nt
Filed under: uncultured bacterium
Lineage: Bacteria
Description: partial 16S ribosomal RNA
Rfam family: Bacterial small subunit ribosomal RNA
Source: RNAcentral